GGGGUGCAGCAGGCGCGAAAACUUUGCAAUACACGAAAGUGUGACAGGGUCAUCCCGAGUGCCGACCGCUGAGGUUGGCUUUUACCCAGUCUAGAAAGCUGGGGGAAUAAGGAGAGGGCAAGUCUGGUGUCAGCCGCCGCGGUAAUACCAGCUCUCCGAGUGGUGUGGACGUUUAUUGGGCCUAAAGCAUCCGUAGCUGGCUGAACAAGUCCCCUGUUAAACCCACCGAUUUAAUCGUUGGUCUGCGGGGGAUACUGCUCGGCUAGGGGACGAGAGAGGCAGGCGGUAUUCUCGGGGUAGGGGUGAAAUCCUAUAAUCCCGGGAAGACCACCAGUGGCGAAGGCUGCCUGCUAGAGCGCGCCCGACGGUGAGGGAUGAAAGCUGGGGGAGCGAACCGGAUUAGAUACCCGGGUAGUCCCAGCUGUAAACGAUGCAGACUAGGUGUUUGGACGGCCACGUGCCGUUCUAGUGCCGCAGGGAAGCUGUUAAGUCUGCCGCCUGGGGAGUACGAUCGCAAGAUUGAAACUUAAAGGAAUUGGCGGGGGAGCAC
Molecule: ribosomal RNA, 550 nt
Filed under: uncultured archaeon
Lineage: Archaea
Description: bacterial SSU rRNA
Rfam family: Archaeal small subunit ribosomal RNA
Source: RNAcentral